AGGAGGGUUAGAGGUAGACAGAGAGAGGCAGUAGAGGAGGGUUAGAGGUAGACAGAGAGAGGCAGUAGAGGAGGGUUAGAGGUAGACAGAGAGAGGCAGUAGAGGAGGGUUAGAGGUAGACAGAGAGAGGCAGUAGAGGAGGGUUAGAGGUAGACAGAGAGAGGCAGUAGAGGAGGGUUAGAGGUAGACAGAGAGAGGCAGUAGAGGAGGGUUAGAG
Molecule: long non-coding RNA, 217 nt
Organism: Oncorhynchus keta (chum salmon)
Lineage: Eukaryota; Metazoa; Chordata; Actinopteri; Salmoniformes; Salmonidae
Exons: 4
Source: RefSeq, a predicted model, not a curated record